Papaver somniferum (opium poppy) is the source of this 1159-nucleotide long non-coding RNA. RefSeq lists it as uncharacterized. The record is from RefSeq and is a predicted model, not a curated record. The transcript has 4 exons. Lineage: Eukaryota; Viridiplantae; Streptophyta; Magnoliopsida; Ranunculales; Papaveraceae.
AGGAGAAUUCCAGUUAUUUUUUUUUCCUUAUGCGGACGAACUAUUCAGUUAUAACCAUCUGAGAGGGGGUGAUUUUAAUGGAUCUAUUAUCUAAUUUUGGGUUAGAGUAACUUCUCAGUUCUGGGAGGGAACCGUAUUAUCAUCCAAUUGUGCUUGCAAAAUUCUAUAUCAAAUCGAAGGCAUAUCCUACUACCCAUAUGGAUCACUUGGCUGCUUCAAACAUCGAAAGACUAAGAUAUCCCAUUGUUCGGGGACAACUACCUAGAAUAUGACUGGAGGAAAGAGUGGCUCAUAAUGGAAGGAUACCUAUUAUCAUUGAUGAACAAUCUGGUGUACUUCUAGGAGACCAUCGAUCUGAUUUGGCCGGUGAAUGUCAUACGAUUAUUCAUGCUUUCGCUCCUUUGGGAUACAAGUCAUGGGAAACUAUCCCUGCACAAGAUAGGGACAUAUUAAUUGAACAGCUAAAGGAUAAUUUCAUACUAAACACCACAAGUCCAUCUGUUAGGAGAUUUCUGAAUUAUCGUAUGUCAAAAGGUUAUACCAACUUUAAGUGUGAAAUGCUGAUGCAUUUUAGAAAGUAUGCAAGUAUUGAAGAAGUGCGGGGUAAUCCUUUUGGAAACAUCUCACCAGCAAAUUGGUCUAGUUUGUGUGACCUCUUUGUUUUGGAGAGAAUUAAGGUGAACUAAAUGGUUACUGUACUUUGGAAGAUGUGAUGUAUAUAUUUUAAUACUCUUGCAGGAUCUAGCUUCAAUACUUUUCUUAAAUUUCAGAAGUGUCCUGAUUGUCAUGAGAAUUUUGAGGCUGUAAGGCCAUACAUUUUCAGGUUGAAGGGACGACAAAGUCUUCAAGGGCAUCCGUUGCCAGUUUCACAGGACGAAAAAAAUCAAUCUACACAUACAAAAGAUGGAAAAAUUAGUGAAGCCAACACAGGUUUUAGGCACAACGCACUCUGUUAAAUAUUGGUUCUUGAUCCAGCUGAUUCCCCAACCAUUUAAGAUCCAAAAGCUGCUUAGUGCUUAGUUUUGAUGUUACUCCUUGUUUUUAGUUAAAGUUAAAUGAGUAUUAGUUUUCUUCAGUAUUUUAGAAGUGUUCUUCAGAAUAGUUCAAGCCAUGAGUGCAAUUAUUGCUUAAGUUAUUGGAAUAUUAAUCAAUGUAAAUG